RNAcentral lists this ribosomal RNA (545 nucleotides) under uncultured bacterium. RNAcentral describes it as "bacterial SSU rRNA". It matches the Rfam family "Bacterial small subunit ribosomal RNA", at positions 777 to 1319 of the family's 1533-position model. The record is from RNAcentral.
AAUAGAUACCCUGGUAGUCCACGCCGUAAACGAUGGGCACUAGGUCCUUGGGGGAGCGACCCCUUGAGGGCCGGCGCAAACGCAUUAAGUGCCCCGCCUGGGGAGUACGGCCGCAAGGCUGAAACUCAAAGGAAUUGACGGGGGCCCGCACAGGCGGUGGAGCAUGUGGUUUAAUUCGACGCAACGCGAAGAACCUUACCUGGGCUUGACAUGGCCGGGAAUUUCCGGGGAAACCUGGAAAGCUCUUCGGAGCUCGGUCACAGGUGCUGCAUGGCUGUCGUCAGCUCGUGUCGUGAGAUGUUGGGUUAAGUCCCGCAACGAGCGCAACCCUUGUCACUAGUUACCAGCGGGUAAAGCCGGGAACUCUAGUGAGACUGCCGGUGCCAAACCGGAGGAAGGUGGGAACGACGUCAAGUCAUCAUGGUCCUUACGUCCAGGGCUACACACGUGCUACAAUGGAUGGGACAAUGGGUCGCCAAAGCGCAAGCUGGAGCCAAUCCCAUAAAUCCAUCCUCAGUUCGGAUUGUCGUCUGCAACUCGACGGC